ACCGCCCGUCACACCAUGGGAGUUGGAUUGACCCGAAGACAGUGGGCUAACCGCAAGGAGGCAGCUGGCCACGGUCGGUUCAGCGACUGGGGUG
RNAcentral lists this ribosomal RNA (94 nucleotides) under uncultured bacterium. RNAcentral describes it as "partial 16S ribosomal RNA". It matches the Rfam family "Bacterial small subunit ribosomal RNA", at positions 1389 to 1482 of the family's 1533-position model. The record is from RNAcentral.